This 253-nucleotide ribosomal RNA is filed under the name uncultured bacterium. Its description in RNAcentral is "partial 16S ribosomal RNA". It matches the Rfam family "Bacterial small subunit ribosomal RNA", at positions 524 to 776 of the family's 1533-position model. The record is from RNAcentral.
UACAGAGGGGGCAAGCGUUAUUCGGAAUUAUUGGGCGUAAAGGGCGCGUAGGCGGCAUGGCAAGUGGAUGGUGAAAUCCCUCGGCUUAACCGAGGAACUGCCGUCCAAACUGCUUCGCUUGAGACCGGGAGAGGUGAGUGGAAUUCCCAGUGUAGCGGUGAAAUGCGUAGAUAUUGGGAGGAACACCAGUGGCGAAGGCGGCUCACUGGCCCGAUACUGACGCUGAGGCACGAAAGCGUGGGGAGCAAACAGG